Long non-coding RNA from Tigriopus californicus, 1259 nucleotides. RefSeq lists it as uncharacterized. The record is from RefSeq and is a predicted model, not a curated record. NCBI's taxonomy places the organism in Eukaryota, Metazoa, Arthropoda, Copepoda, Harpacticoida, Harpacticidae. The transcript has 2 exons.
UUAACACAGCAGUUGAAGAUUCCAGCGCAAUAGAAGAAAUGACACAGGACCUGAGGAGGCAGUUCCAUGAUGUACUGUCAGAUUCCCUGGCUCCUGAUCAACGCGUCGUGGGUGAUCCCAUCCAAAUCAGAUUGACAGAGGACGCUGUUCCGUAUCAUGCCAAUACCUCACGUCCCAUUCCGCUGCAUUAUCGCGCUGAAGCCGACGCAACUAUCAAACGGUUGCUUGAUUCAGGCCGAUUUUUUCGUGUAGAGGAGGCUACAACAUGGUGUGCUUGUGCUCACUUCGUUCCUAAAGAAGGAGGCAAGGCCGGGCUUUGUUUGGUCACAGAUUACAAGGUGAUCAACAAAUUCAUCAAGAGACCUGUACAGCCUUUCCCUUCUGCCCAGGACAUCAUUAGAAGUGGAGGUACCGGUACAACUUUGCCCCCAUGGGUAUGAGUCUCAGCAGGGACCACUGGAAUACGGUUUCCAAUGAGGUCAUCAGAGGUCUUACUUUUUGUCAAAAACUGGUCGACGACAUCCUCAUCGGUGCACCAACAAUUCCCCUGCUCAAAUCCCGCAUUCAAACUGUUCUUUCAAGAUGCCGUGAGAAAGGGAUUACGAUCUCAUUACGCAUAUUCGUCGCAGGUCGCAAGGUGCCCUUUGCAGGAUUCGUUGUCAGUGACCAGGGUGUCAGCCCUGACCCUGCUAAAGUGCAGGCAAUCCAAGACUUCCCACAGCCAAAAACAGUGACUGAUGUGAGGUCCUUUUUGGGCCUCGCCAAUUAAUUUGUGUUCUUUGUGCUGGACUUAUUGCAUGGGAUGAGUGACAUUUGUCCCCUUCUCAAAACGGGAGUUUGAUUCCAGUGGCUCAGUGUCCACGAAAAAGCAUUUUGCCAAGCCAAGAAUUUGCUGACUUCUUCUCUCCUUGUGAAGCCGUUCGAUGAAAAACUUGAGACUUUUCUGAUAUUGGACACUUCAAGGUUACACGGCCUCAGCUUCAUGCUGAUGCAAAAGGAGAAGAAUGGACAUCCACGAAUAGUGCAAUGUGGCUCGUUCAGCUUGACGCCUGCUCAGCGGAAUUAUGCAGCCAUCAAGCUUGAGUGUCUUGCAAUUUUGCGUGCAGUGCACAAAUGCGAGUUUUAUUUGAGAGGGUGUGCAUUCACUGUUAUGACAAACCAUAAGCCGCUCGUGGGAAUUUUUGCAAAAGACAUUAUUGACAUUCAUAACAUGCGACUUGCAAAAUUCCGUGAGGCCAUCUCAUCUUUCUCUUUCCAGA